This 362-nucleotide ribosomal RNA is filed under the name uncultured bacterium. RNAcentral's name for it is "bacterial SSU rRNA". It matches the Rfam family "Bacterial small subunit ribosomal RNA", at positions 107 to 452 of the family's 1533-position model. The record is from RNAcentral.
UGAGUAACACGUAAACAACCUGCCUUCAGGAUGGGGACAACAGACGGAAACGACUGCUAAUACCGAAUACGCUUGGGAGACCGCAUGAUCUUCCAAGGAAAGGGUGGCCUCUACCUGUAAGCUAUCGCCUGAAGAGGGGUUUGCGUCUGAUUAGGCAGUUGGUGAGGUAACGGCCCACCAAACCUACGAUCAGUAGCCGGUCUGAGAGGAUGAACGGCCACACUGGAACUGAGACACGGUCCAGACUCCUACGGGAGGCAGCAGUGGGGAAUCUUCCGCAAUGGGCGAAAGCCUGACGGAGCAACGCCGCGUGAGUGAUGACGGCCUUCGGGUUGUAAAGCUCUGUGAUCGGGGACGAACGG